Molecule: ribosomal RNA, 356 nt
Filed under: uncultured bacterium
Lineage: Bacteria
Description: bacterial SSU rRNA
Rfam family: Bacterial small subunit ribosomal RNA
Source: RNAcentral
GGACCCGCACAAGCAGUGGAGCAUGUGGUUUAAUUCGACGCAACGCGAAGAACCUUACCAGCGUUUGACAUGGGAAGUACCGGUUACAGAAUGGUAACCUUCAGUUCGGCUGGCUUCCGCACAGGUGCUGCAUGGCUGUCGUCAGCUCGUGUCGUGAGAUGUUGGUUAAGUCCCGCAACGAGCGCAACCCUUAUCGUUAGUUACUAACAGUUCGGCUGAGGACUCUAGCGAAACUGCCGGUGAUAAGCCGGAGGAAGGUGGGGAUGACGUCAAGUCCUCAUGGCCCUUACACGCUGGGCUACACACGUGCUACAAUGGUAACUACAACGGGACGCAAGCUUGUAAAGGUUAGCUAA